Non-coding RNA from Trachymyrmex cornetzi, 73 nucleotides. The record is from Rfam. NCBI's taxonomy places the organism in Eukaryota, Metazoa, Arthropoda, Insecta, Hymenoptera, Formicidae.
GCCUCGGUGGUCUAAAGGCUUAAGACGCUCGCGCGGUAUGCAAGAGAUCCGGGUUCAAGUCCCGGCCGAGGUA